CCUUUUAUUUUAUUUAAAGAAUCAUCCAAGUGAAAAAAGACAGACAAACACACUGACAGAACAGCCAGAACAACUGAUAGAAAUGACAGGACAGACAGAGGAGCAACGAACAGGACAGAGGGAGCAACAGGCAGAAAUGAUAGACGAACAUGCAGAAGAGCAACAUGAAGGACAGAUAGAAGCACAUGUAGAAGAGCAACAGACAGGACAAAUGGAACGAGCAACAUGUCAGAUGGAAGAAGACACAGAGGGACAGAUAGGAGACACAGAGGGACAGAUAGAAGAGACCCCCCCAAUCCAACAGCAGGGCCAGAAGAGUCGUGCUCUGGCUGGAGCAGCAACAUAUAGAUCCAUUUUCAAACAGGAGUGGACCUCUUCAUGGCCAUUUAUUACCAGAGGGAGCCGCAACACGCACUACUGGUGUGCAGUCUGCCGUAUUGAAAAUUCAUGUUGCCACCAGGGUGUUGCAGAUGUAGUGCGCCACAUAAAAACCAAAGGCCACCAAGAAAAGCAAAAGGCACUACAGUCCACAGCCACAAUAUUUCAAUAUGCAAUGCCUGUUUCCUCUGUUGGGGGAUGUCUGCACAAGAGGUUAAGACAAGAAGGGCUGAGGUCAAAUUGACAGCUGGGUUGGUAGUUCACAACAUCCCCCUAGCCUUUGCAGACCACCUGGGGCCUCUCCUAAAAUAAUGUUUUGGAGACUCGAAGACAGCGCAGGAGUACAGGAGUGGAAAAGAUGAACCCGCUUACUGUCCGGGUCUUUAUGGGCAGCAAAGUUGUUCACCAGUUUUUAAGUAUGUGCACAACAAGUGGGACAAGAAGUGGGACAGCAAGUGAGAUCUUCACCAAAAUUAACGGCACCUUAGAGGAACAUGGCAUCCCUUGGGAGAACUGCAUUGGUCUCUCAGUCGACAAUGCAGCUGUGAAUAUUGGACCACAUAAUUCCAUUGCCUCUAGGGUCCUCCAGAAGCAUCCCAACACCUAUAUUCAUGGUUGUCCUUGUCACGAGGCACAUACCACUGCCAAAGCUGCAGGAGUGGGAUUUUUUAAAGUGUCCGGUUUUGAUUUGGAGGAUAUGCUAGUGGACAUCGGUUACUGGUUCAAGGAGUUUUGUGAGCUCCAUGAAGCGGAGUACAUGGAGGUCCUCCUACAUAUCUCGGUUCGUUGGCUAAGCCUUGAACGUUGUGUGACCAGGAUCCUGAGGCUGUAUGGACCUCUGGCCAGCUACUACAAAUCUGCUAAUGAAAAUCAGGCCAGGUUCAAGAGGCUUGCAAAGACAUUCACUGACCCCAUGACAGAAGUGUACCUGCUGUUCUUCCAAGCCACCAUACCAACUUUCACUUCUUUCAACUUGCUUCUUCAGAGAGAGCAGUCUUCAAUAUUUUUGUUACAGGUACAUGAUGAGAUGGUGAAAUUCGUACGCAAGCUAUGUUCCAAGUUUAUGGUUCCAGCAGCUCUGCAGGGUCAUGAGGACCCUUGUGAAAUUGCCUUUAAAGAGAAGGCAAACCAUUUACCAGGAAGAAAGUUGAACAUUGGGUUCACAACCAGGGCUAAACUUAACAGAUUACUCGACGAGGGUGACAUCACACCACAGCAGGUGGAUUCAUUCCAUGAAGCUGUGUUGUGUUUCCUGACAAGUGCUGUGGAUUAUGCACUUAAGAAGCUGACACUGAAAGAGCCACUGAUCAAACAUGCCAAAUUCAUAGAUGUACGGCAGAGGGCUGCAAGUGACAUCGAAGAUGUACUGUACUUUGUUGAAAGGUUUCCCCAUCUCCUCCCAUACCAUGGACCAGAGGAGCAUGACCUUCUGGGUGAGGAGUUUCUAAAUUAUCAGACCAUGUCAAUAAUAUCCUUGCAAGACGAAACUGAAAUGGAAAGCUUCUGGGCUGAAAUGGCAAACCGGAAACAUAAGGUGACUGGAGCCAAAGAAUUUGAGAGGCUUGCUGCCAUGGCCAAGCUGGUCCUGGUGUUGCCCCAUGCAAACGCAGACGCUGAGAGGGUGUUUUCAGUUGUGGGACUGAACAAAACCAAAAGAAGAAACAGCCUAGCAUUGGAUGGCACCUUGUCAUCAAUAAUGACCAUAAAGAUGGCCAAUUUGGAGCCCUGCUUCAAAUGGGAGCCCCCCUCAGAUAUCAUCAAGGCCUCCAAGAAGGCCACAGGCCAGUAUAACCAUGCCCACAGAUCAUAGACAAGGACUUUACCAGCUUCUGAUCUGUAUUUGGAAAUAAAGGUGUUAAUC
Cyprinus carpio (common carp) is the source of this 2239-nucleotide long non-coding RNA. Lineage: Eukaryota; Metazoa; Chordata; Actinopteri; Cypriniformes; Cyprinidae. The record is from Ensembl.